Molecule: ribosomal RNA, 351 nt
Filed under: Lactobacillus delbrueckii subsp. bulgaricus
Lineage: Bacteria; Bacillati; Bacillota; Bacilli; Lactobacillales; Lactobacillaceae
Description: partial 23S ribosomal RNA
Rfam family: Bacterial large subunit ribosomal RNA
Source: RNAcentral
GUGAGGGAAAGGUGAAAAGAACCCCGGGAGGGGAGUGAAAGAGAACCUGAAACCGUGUGCCUACAAGUAGUCAGAGCCCGUUAACGGGUAAUGGCGUGCCUUUUGUAGAAUGAACCGGCGAGUUGCGUUAGUCAGCAAGGUUAAGUCAGAAAAGACGGAGCCGUAGCGAAAGCGAGUCUGAAGAGGGCGAGCAGUUGGCUGACGCAGACCCGAAACCAAGUGACCUACCCAUGACCAGGUUGAAGGCGCGGUAAAACGCGCUGGAGGACCGAACCCACGUAAGUUGAAAAUUGCGGGGAUGAGUUGUGGGUAGCGGUGAAAUUCCAAACGAACUUGGAGAUAGCUGGUUCU